This 2036-nucleotide long non-coding RNA is filed under the name Fragaria vesca (wild strawberry). Its description in RNAcentral is "long non-coding RNA (FVES_LNC000842)". The record is from RNAcentral. Lineage: Eukaryota; Viridiplantae; Streptophyta; Magnoliopsida; Rosales; Rosaceae.
CCAGACCGACUUCGGUCUCGUGCUGCUCUGCAGCGGGUGAGCUCGGAGGAGGACUCCGUUGUCCGGCUGCCUCUCGGCCUCCAACCGGUGGCUACGGCUUCGUCUUGCCGUCCCCGACGUCUCUGUUGUAUCAGAUUUCAUGGAGGAGAGCUGCUGAAAGAGAAUCGGAGGAGAGAAAGUGAUUGCCUCUCCGAUCGGGUUUCCGAUUCCGGCCACGGCGGCGUGCAUGGCUGGUGGUGGUAGCUUCGUCUUGACCUGGAGAACCUCCCUGUGGCUUCAAUAUGUCGAGACGAGCAGUGGUGAGUGAGAAUCGAUGCAGAGGAGUGGUUUGAGUUUUCCGGCGUUGUUCUUCAUUUUCCGGCGAGCUUCGAAUUCGAUUCAGGUAUAAAAGUUGGACUAUUUAUUGAGUUCUACGUAUUUGUAUAAUUGAAUUCGAGUUUGAGUGUUUUUGGGAGAAGUUGGAAUUUAGGCAGGACCCGACUGCCGUGUGUGGUGGCGGAUUGGCGGUGCUGGCCUAAGCUCGUCCUUGAUUCAUUUUUGUUCAGAAAUAUGGAUUGAUGAUUAGUAUGUUGUCUGUAAUUGUUGAAAUUGUAGAAUUGGAGGUAGAGAGCUGAGUUGCAGGUUGUUCGGGUUACUGUGUUUGUGUAGGUUGCUGCGUUCAGCGUCCACAACGGUGGUGGUGGUGAUUGACUGUUCUGGGAGUACCUUUUGGCUUUACUUAGUAUAGUGAACGUUUGUGGGUACUGAGAUGAUUGAUUUACAGUUGGUUAAAGUUGGAAAGAUUGGAACUUUGGAGUUGUGUUCUAUUAACUGUGAGUGAGGGUUCAAAUAGUUCAUUCAAUAAUUUUGGGUGGUUAAUAACAGUGAAGAUGUGUUGGAUUAUUGUAAGGAGUUUGAAAGAUGUUUGUGAGAAAGUCUGGAAGGUCAACAAUGAGGAAUUUAGGUCGAGACUAGAGAGCUUGUCUUAUUUUGAGUAGUGAAGAAGAUGUUGUUUAAUUAAGAGAGGAGAUGGGGCAUUGGAGCAACAUGAACCGAGAAGUGUUGUUGACAAUAUGAAAUAAGUUCAGAACCGAGAUUGAGCAAGAUGGGUGUUCACCUGAUGUAGAUUAAGAUAGUUCUAAGCUAUUGGGUGUCCUUAGUAAAUUUCAAGGACUUGAUAGUAUCAAUUUGAAGUGACCUAUCAACAUUCUUGGAAUGAGGAUUUGGUACGAGGAUUGAGUAACUAUCGACAUUCCAAGAGCAGAAGGAUAAGGAUUUCAGAAUGCGUGCCACGGUGUUACUAAUUUUAAUUAGCGUCAGAGCUAGCGCUUGGAUUUCAGGUAGGGUCUUUCUCGGGGAAUCUUUCUUUAAAAUGAUAAUUAGAUUAUUAAUGAAAUCGGUGAAUUGUGUGCUAUUGACUGAUUAACUAUUGAAAGUUAUUGCUUUCGAUAAAAGCAUGUGUAGCAUGUGUAGUCGUUGGUUUAUAUGAUUGUUGUUAUCGCUUUCCAUAAAAGCAUGUGUUCGAUAUUUGAUUGCAUACAUAAUGCAUUGUGAGGAAUUGUGAGGAUAAUGAGAUUGGUGGUUAUGGAGAGGUGUGAAUGAGAUUGAUAGAAUAUAUAUAUUUUGUGUAGUUGAGUUUCCUCAUGGGGACUUCCAGUAGCUAUGAUCAGCCCACCUGCGUAAAUGAGUGGGGAAAGUAUGCCCCUUCGACGUAUGAGUCGAUAAAACGAUUUUUCGGGUUUCGAGACUGGGGACCAUAAGGUUAACAAAAAACUAACAAAAGAGGUACUGGAGUUUAUAUAUUACUGAUUUGUUAGGCCGUAUAUUCGAGACAUCUACAUGGUAUGAGACGUGUAGGCACAUAUGUCUUGGGUGUAUGGACUAAUUAGCCAGUAAUAGAGUGGAGGGAGUGCAUUAGCAUUUAUGCAUCGAAUUGUCGUUAUUUAUAUAAAGUAUUAUUUGUUACUUGAUAACUUGAUUUUGCUACUUAGAUAAAAAUAACCUAAGGAGGUUUGGCCCUACUGAGCGUAAACUCACCCCUAUAGAUUCUUGUUCAG